UGCGUGUGUGUGUGUGAGAAUGUGUGUGUGCACGUGUGCGUGUGCCCACCCAGAGAGACGCGGGCCGGGACGGCCCUGCGGUCGAUCCAGAAGGAGACCCAGGACAGGACCACCAUGAGCAUGGUGGGGAAGUACGUCUGCAGCAUGAAGAAGAAGAUGUGCCGCCGCAGGAUGAAGCUGAUGAACAGACGGUUGUACCAACCUGUCACGCGCACGGCUUUCUACACGGCCACUUUAUUAGGCACAGCGACAGACCUGUGCUGCUGUAAAAAGCCAAGCCACUGGAGGGUUGGAAGUGCUCGAUGAAGAACUGAGACAAGAGGAUCUCGUCGGUCCUCAAGGAGUCGUUGCCGUUUUUCCAGUAGAGCAUCAGGUCGUUCUCGUUGUACGCAUCUGAGGAAAGACGGCGUGAGGCUGACACAGCGCAUUCUCUCCAGUUCCAGCGAGCAGUUCUGCGUGUCCAAGGGGAAGCUGCUGAAGUCCAUGGAGCACAGAGAGGUGACGGUGACCCUGAAAGCAACACAAGCACAAAAACAACAAAACUUCAGAAGCCAGACAGCAUCCAUCUUGUCCCGGACUAACCUUUCUGGUGGUGUUGCCAUGGCAGCCUGGCAGCAGCAAGUCAGCUCUUUAUUCAUUUUGGAGCCAACAACGUAGAAAUGAAAAUGUUUCGAGAUGCCGUGAGGAGAGCUGGGCGAUUUUCCGAUCUGCGCAAUUAAUCAAGUUUAUGUGUCGGGAUAAAUGUCUUUUAGGGGCUUCUGUAGCACUCUGUAAUAUUGUACUACAUACAUUAAUGACAUAAUUGAAUAGAAUGUAACGAGUUAAACAGUUUUGCCAC
Long non-coding RNA from Phycodurus eques (leafy seadragon), 838 nucleotides. RefSeq lists it as uncharacterized. The record is from RefSeq and is a predicted model, not a curated record. Lineage: Eukaryota; Metazoa; Chordata; Actinopteri; Syngnathiformes; Syngnathidae. The transcript is spliced from 3 exons.